Molecule: ribosomal RNA, 253 nt
Filed under: uncultured bacterium
Lineage: Bacteria
Description: partial 16S ribosomal RNA
Rfam family: Bacterial small subunit ribosomal RNA
Source: RNAcentral
UACAGAGGUCUCAAGCGUUGUUCGGAUUCAUUGGGCGUAAAGGGUGUGUAGGUGGCGCCGUAAGUCGGGUGUGAAAUUUCGGAGCUUAACUCCGAAACUGCAUUCGAUACUGCGGUGCUUGAGGACUGGAGAGGAGACUGGAAUUCAUGGUGUAGCAGUGAAAUGCGUAGAUAUCAGGAGGAACACCGGUGGCGAAGGCGGGUCUCUGGGCCGAUACUGACGCUGAGGAGCGAAAGCGUGGGGAGCGAACAGG